UACGUAGGGGGCAAGCGUUGUCCGGAUUUAUUGGGCGUAAAGAGCGUGUAGGCGGCCAGACAGGUCCGUUGUGAAAACUCGAGGCUCAACCUCGAGACGCCGAUGGAAACCGUCUGGCUAGAGUCCGGGAGAGGAGAGUGGAAUUCCUGGUGUAGCGGUGAAAUGCGCAGAUAUCAGGAAGAACACCCGUGGCGAAGGCGGUUCUCUGGGACGGUACUGACGCUGAGACGCGAAAGCGUGGGGAGCGAACAGG
This 253-nucleotide ribosomal RNA is filed under the name uncultured bacterium. RNAcentral describes it as "partial 16S ribosomal RNA". It matches the Rfam family "Bacterial small subunit ribosomal RNA", at positions 524 to 776 of the family's 1533-position model. The record is from RNAcentral.